UACGUAGGGAGCAAGCGUUGUCCGGAAUCAUUGGGCGUAAAGCGCGCGUAGGCGGCCCUGUAAGUCCGUUGUGAAAGUCAAAGGCUCAACCUUUGAAAGCCGAUGGAUACUGCAGGGCUAGAGUCCGGAAGAGGCGAGUGGAAUUCCUGGUGUAGCGGUGGAAUGCGCAGAUAUCAGGAGGAACACCACUAGCGAAGGCAGCUCGCUGGGACGGUACUGACGCUAAGGCGCGAAAGCGUGGGGAGCGAACAGG
This 253-nucleotide ribosomal RNA is filed under the name uncultured bacterium. RNAcentral's name for it is "partial 16S ribosomal RNA". It matches the Rfam family "Bacterial small subunit ribosomal RNA", at positions 524 to 776 of the family's 1533-position model. The record is from RNAcentral.